AAAGCUCAGCGGUAGAACACCUGCUUUGCAUGCAGAAGAUUCUAGGUUCGAUCCCCAGCAUGUCUA
This 66-nucleotide transfer RNA is filed under the name Podarcis lilfordi (Lilford's wall lizard). RNAcentral describes it as "tRNA.Ala". Lineage: Eukaryota; Metazoa; Chordata; Lepidosauria; Squamata; Lacertidae. The record is from RNAcentral.